Molecule: long non-coding RNA, 1760 nt
Organism: Erpetoichthys calabaricus (reedfish)
Lineage: Eukaryota; Metazoa; Chordata; Cladistia; Polypteriformes; Polypteridae
Exons: 3
Source: RefSeq, a predicted model, not a curated record
CUCUCCAGCUGAGAUCAGCUGUGUUGUUUUCAUUUAGCAAUGGCGCUGCAGAGGUUGGGACGUUUGGAAGUAUUUUCUCUUAUAAUGAAAAUGAGAUAAAAUAUUUUACUGAUUGCUAAUUACAUACAUGUUUUGGCAUAUUAUAGGACAGUAGUGAGGAAUAAUAAGGAAAUCCUUGGAAAUACGCGAGGCACCUGAAACCGGGAUGAGCAAUGCACCACGUGUAGAAGGGUUUGCACAACAAACUGCAGAGUCAAAGAGAUGCACCAGGUUUACAAAACAUUUGACAACAGUGGUUCCCGUAACGUACACGUACUGGUACUGCAUACUAAAGCACACAAGUUAAAGAUGAGGAACGGGCAUCCCUGACUGUCCUUGAGAAGCACAAGGGCUGGAGUGUUGGGACAAUUGUAAUCCAUACUAGCAUUAAUGAUAUUCAUCAUUGAUGGUCAGAACUCCUGCCGACAGACUUCACAUCCCUCAUUCAGGCCAGGAAGGAGAGGACUCUGGCUGCGAGGAUCGCUGUGUUAAGCCCACUUCCUAUGCUACUUAGAUCAGAUGAAACCUACAAUCAAUACUUGGCCCUAAACACAUGGAUGAGAAUUCUGCUUCAAUGACAACUUGGCCGUCUUCUGGGGGGGAGACUGCUUUUCUGCAGAUGUGAUGGCCUACAUCCAAACAGGUUUGGUGCUCAGUUCCUCUCUGAAAAUACCUGAAAACUAAACAGUCUUUUUUGACUAUAUGGCCUUAGUCCUAAUGUUCACUAUAAUCCUUUAAUACGAUUUGAUCAUUCUGUAGUGUAUCUCACUCUCAGACUUAUCUAUAGUAGUAACUAACUAUGUCAGGUUCCUAAUUGCAUGCAAUUUCAGUUUUCAUAUAGAUAACCAAUGUGAACCUAAAACAAGAGAAUUUAUGAACUUACUGCACUCUGUUGAUCUUCGCACAUCAGUCAGGCUUUAAUUAUCUCAAAAGGAUUAAAAUUCGACAUGAUGCAGGUCGUGGAUGCAGUAUGUGUAUAUCUGACCAUUUCUGCAUCUUAUUUAUGUAGAAAUACUGGUAACCACAACUAAAGAGAAGCAUUACAGAGAACUGCAGACACAUGGGAUAAGUUACGAAGUAGCAUCAUAGAAAGAAGGAUUCUACAGGGCAUGCAAAACUCAGUCUGAUGUUUAGAAUGAAUUGGGUGGGGCUGAACCUGUUCUCAUCAAAAUAUUUUUCUAAUUUUGUAAAUACCACUAGCUUUUCACACCCAAGAAGAAAACAAGUCAGAUACUGAAAAUGAAGGCUUGAGAAGGAAAGUUGGACAUGGCCAUCCAGAGAUUCCUGUUCUUUAUUUUUCCUGAAGGAUCAAUUUAAUUUGAACGCACAUAAAAAAUAAAAAGUUAACUGAUUCUUUCCCUUUAGUUAGUGUAUCCAGAUAAUUAAUUUUCUGUCAAAUCCUGCAGUGUUUGGAUAUUUGGCCUGAUGUGAAUGAGUGGCCACUGUUACAGACUGGCACUUUGUUCUAGAUCAGGGGUCUCUAACUUUUCCAGCCCCCCUUCCCACCCUCUCAUAUAGGACGUCAACAAAAUAAUGCAAUCCAGCCUGCGAAUGGUAAAUUUAUUUAACUGUUUUUGCCUACUUCCUUUGUUUACUCAUUUAAGUCCAAAAUAGUUUAAAAAUAAUUUUAAAUUAAAAAAUAAUUUCAAAUUAACAUAAAUCUUUCAGUUCUGUCUUUUGAUGCAAAUGUGCUGUUUAUGAUUAAAAAGAAAGCAAGUUAA